CGCGACGGGUGAAGUAAUAACAUACGGAACGUGUUCUUCUAGGGUGGGGGGAAUAACUCGACCCGAAAGGCUAAUACCGCAUGAGACCUGGAGGGUGAAUGGCGGGGGAUCGCAAGACCUCGCGCUGGAAGAGCGGCCGAUGUCCGAUUAGCUAGUUGGUGAGGUAAAGGCUCACCAAGGCGACGAUCGGUAGCCGGACCGAGAGGUUGAACGGCCACAUUGGGACUGAGACACGGCCCAG
RNAcentral lists this ribosomal RNA (241 nucleotides) under uncultured bacterium. RNAcentral's name for it is "partial 16S ribosomal RNA". It matches the Rfam family "Bacterial small subunit ribosomal RNA", at positions 102 to 334 of the family's 1533-position model. The record is from RNAcentral.